CCCGGAUCGCGGAAUCCCACCAAACACCACAGGAGCUGCUGAUCGAUGCAAGAGCAGUGAGGAACUUUAUUACAAGCUCGAGCAGGGACUCCCUCCACACAACCUAAUGGCCAUGUGGAGAGAGCCCCCAAGUGAUGCCAGAGACCUCUCGGGCUGGAAGGAGGAGGGAUCCUGGAACUGGUCAGGGUUGUGGAGAAUGGAGUGGAGCAGUGGGAACACCGUGGUGCCCUGAGAAUGGAGUCUGCCAGAUGUCCAUGGAAGAAGAUCCCCCAGCACCAACCCAAAUAAAAAAGAAGACCCACUGAGCAGAUGAAAACUGCUGACCACAAGAACAUGGACCCUAGACUGGUUGAAACCAGAAGGUUGAUGAUGCUUGAAACUUCACCUUGAUGCCAACCAAUCCAAGAACUGUCCACGAAUUGAUCACA
Long non-coding RNA from Dama dama (fallow deer), 428 nucleotides. RefSeq lists it as uncharacterized. Lineage: Eukaryota; Metazoa; Chordata; Mammalia; Artiodactyla; Cervidae. The record is from RefSeq and is a predicted model, not a curated record. The transcript has 3 exons.